GAUGAACGCUGGCGGCGUGCUUAACACAUGCAAGUCGAACGGAAAGGCCUCUGCUUGCAGGGGUACUCGAGUGGCGAACGGGUGAGUAACACGUGGGUGAUCUGCCCUGCACUUCGGGAUAAGCCUGGGAAACUGGGUCUAAUACCGGAUAGGACAAUGGUUUGGAUGCUGUUGUGGAAAGUUUUUCGGUGUGGGAUGAGCUCGCGGCCUAUCAGCUUGUUGGUGGGGUAAUGGCCUACCAAGGCGUCGACGGGUAGCCGGCCUGAGAGGGUGUACGGCCACAUUGGGACUGAGAUACGGCCCAGACUCCUACGGGAGGCAGCAAUGGGGAAUAUUGCACAAUGGGCGCGAGCCUGAUGCAGCGACGCCGCGUGGGGGAUGACGGCCUUCGGGUUGUAAACUCCUGUCGCUAGGGACGAAGCGUUUUUGUGACGGUACCUGGAGAAGAAGCACCGGCUAACUACGUG
Molecule: ribosomal RNA, 467 nt
Filed under: uncultured bacterium
Lineage: Bacteria
Description: partial 16S ribosomal RNA
Rfam family: Bacterial small subunit ribosomal RNA
Source: RNAcentral